UACAGAGGGUGCGAGCGUUGUUCGGAAUUAUUGGGCGUAAAGGGCGCGUAGGCGGUGCCACAAGUCACUUGUGAAAUCCCCGGGCUUAACUCGGGGCCUGCAGGCGAAACUGUGGUGCUGGAGUGUGGGAGAGGUGCGUGGAAUUCCCAGUGUAGAGGUGAAAUUCGUAGAGAUUGGGAAGAACACCGGUGGCGAAGGCGGCUCACUGGACCGACAUUGACGCUGAGGCGCGAAAGCGCGGGGAGCGAACGGG
This 253-nucleotide ribosomal RNA is filed under the name uncultured prokaryote. RNAcentral describes it as "partial 16S ribosomal RNA". It matches the Rfam family "Bacterial small subunit ribosomal RNA", at positions 524 to 776 of the family's 1533-position model. The record is from RNAcentral.